Molecule: transfer RNA, 75 nt
Filed under: Candidatus Gottesmanbacteria bacterium
Lineage: Bacteria; Candidatus Gottesmaniibacteriota
Description: tRNA-Trp
Rfam family: tRNA
About the family: Transfer RNA (tRNA) molecules are approximately 80 nucleotides in length. Their secondary structure includes four short double-helical elements and three loops (D, anti-codon, and T loops).
Source: RNAcentral
AGGCGCGUAGCUCCAAUUGGCCAGAGCAGCGAUUUCCAAAAUCGCAUGUUGGAGGUUCAAAUCCUCCCGCGCCUG